GAUUGAUGGUGCCUACAGU
Molecule: unclassified non-coding RNA, 19 nt
Filed under: Chlamydomonas reinhardtii
Lineage: Eukaryota; Viridiplantae; Chlorophyta; Chlorophyceae; Chlamydomonadales; Chlamydomonadaceae
Description: small RNA Cre_1649
Source: RNAcentral